GACGAACGCUGGCGGCGUGCCUAACACAUGCAAGUCGAGCGGAGAUUUCUUUGGCACUGAGUGCUCUAAUAUUGACGUGCACCAAGCGUCAUGCAGAAACAACCUUAAUAGAUGAAAAAAGGUUUCUGCAUCACGCGUUAAUUAAGUACCGACACAUAAUAGCAAUUCAGGUUAGAGUAUUGAGUGCCGAAGAAAUCUUAGCGGCGGACGGGUGAGUAACACGUGGGCAACCUGCCUUGGAGUGGGGGAUAACACCGGGAAAUCGGUGCUAAUACCGCAUAACAUACACAUACUGCAUAGUGAGUGUAUCAAAGGAGCAAUCCGCUUUAAGAUGGGCCCGCGUCUGAUUAGCUAGUUGGUAAGGUAACGGCUUACCAAGGCGACGAUCAGUAGCCGACCUGAGAGGGUGACCGGCCACACUGGAACUGAGACACGGUCCAGACUCCUACGGGAGGCAGCAGUGGGGAAUAUUGCGCAAUGGGGGGAA
This 487-nucleotide ribosomal RNA is filed under the name uncultured bacterium. RNAcentral's name for it is "bacterial SSU rRNA". It matches the Rfam family "Bacterial small subunit ribosomal RNA", at positions 28 to 380 of the family's 1533-position model. The record is from RNAcentral.